Molecule: small RNA, 122 nt
Filed under: Arabidopsis thaliana (thale cress)
Lineage: Eukaryota; Viridiplantae; Streptophyta; Magnoliopsida; Brassicales; Brassicaceae
Description: ATSL046230
Source: RNAcentral
ACCAAAAUGAAUGUGUGUGAAUCACUAUUUACUAUUCAAAUUUUAAAUAUUAUCGAUCAAAAUUUGAAUUUAUAUCUUACACCCGCCUAUUUAGACGGGCAUGAUCUAGUAUCUAUAUAAAU